AAUCCAUAGGUUAAUGAGGCGAACCGGGGGAACUGAAACAUCUAAGUACCCCGAGGAAAAGAAAUCAACCGAGAUUCCCCCAGUAGCGGCGAGCGAACGGGGAGGAGCCCAGAGCCUGAAUCAGCAUGUGUGUUAGUGGAAGCGUCUGGAAAGGCGCGCGAUACAGGGUGACAGCCCCGUACACAAAAGCGCAUGUGCUGUGAGCUCGAUGAGUAGGGCGGGACACGUGGUAUCCUGUCUGAAUAUGGGGGGACCAUCCUCCAAGGCUAAAUACUCCUGACUGACCGAUAGUGAACCAGUACCGUGAGGGAAAGGCGAAAAGAACCCCGGCGAGGGGAGUGAAAAAGAACCUGAAACCGUGUACGUACAAGCAGUGGGAGCACAGGUUUACCUGUGUGACUGCGUACCUUUUGUAUAAUGGGUCAGCGACUUAUAUUCUGUAGCAAGGUUAACCGUAUAGGGGAGCCGUAGGGAAACCGAGUCUUAAUUGGGCGUUAAGUUGCAGGGUAUAGACCCGAAACCCGGUGAUCUAGCCAUGGGCAGGUUGAAGGUUGGGUAACACUAACUGGAGGACCGAACCGACUAAUGUUGAAAAAUUAGCGGAUGACCUGUGGCUGGGGGUGAAAGGCCAAUCAAACCGGGAGAUAGCUGGUUCUCCCCGAAAGCUAUUUAGGUAGCGCCUCGUGAAUUCAUCUCCGGGGGUAGAGCACUGUUUCGGCUAGGGGGCCAUCCCGGCUUACCAACCCGAUGCAAACUGCGAAUACCGGAGAAUGUUAUCACGGGAGACACACGGCGGGUGCUAACGUCCGUCGUGAAGAGGGAAACAACCCAGACCGCCAGCUAAGGUCCCAAAGUCAUGGUUAAGUGGGAAACGAUGUGGGAAGGCCCAGACAGCCAGGAUGUUGGCUUAGAAGCAGCCAUCAUUUAAAGAAAGCGUAAUAGCUCACUGGUCGAGUCGGCCUGCGCGGAAGAUGUAACGGGGCUAAACCAU
RNAcentral lists this ribosomal RNA (991 nucleotides) under Salmonella enterica subsp. enterica. Its description in RNAcentral is "partial 23S ribosomal RNA". It matches the Rfam family "Bacterial large subunit ribosomal RNA", at positions 161 to 1190 of the family's 2925-position model. Lineage: Bacteria; Pseudomonadati; Pseudomonadota; Gammaproteobacteria; Enterobacterales; Enterobacteriaceae. RNAcentral also lists the same sequence under 1 other name. The record is from RNAcentral.